AUUGAACGCUGGCGGAAUGCUUUACACAUGCAAGUCGAACGGCAGCACGGACUGCGGUCUGGUGGCGAGUGGCGAACGCGUGAGUAAUGUAUCGGAACGUGCCCAGUCGUGGGGGAUAACGUAGUGAAAAUUACGCUAAUACCGCAUACGAUCUAUGGAUGAGAGCGGGGGAUCGCAAGACCUCGCGCGAUUGGAGCGGCCGAUAUCAGAUUAGGUAGUUGGUGGGGUAAAGGCCCACCAAGCCAACGAUCUGUAGCUGGUCUGAGAGGACGACCAGCCACACUGGAACUGAGACACGGUCCAGACUCCUACGGGAGGCAGCAGUGGGGAAUUUUGGACAAUGGGCGAAAGCCUGAUCCAGCCAUUCCGCGUGCAGGAUGAAGGCCCUCGGGUUGUAAACUGCUUUUGUACAGAACGAAAAGGUUUCUACUAAUACUAGGAGCUCAUGACGGUACUGUAAGAAUAAGCACCGGCUAACUACGUGCCAGCCGCCGCAGUAA
Molecule: ribosomal RNA, 500 nt
Filed under: uncultured bacterium
Lineage: Bacteria
Description: partial 16S ribosomal RNA
Rfam family: Bacterial small subunit ribosomal RNA
Source: RNAcentral